UACAGAGGUCUCAAGCGUUGUUCGGAUUCAUUGGGCGUAAAGGGUGCGUAGGCGGCGCGGUAAGUCGGGUGUGAAAUCUUGGAGCUUAACUCCGAAACUGCAUUCGAUACUGCCGUGCUUGAGGACUGGAGAGGAGACUGGAAUUUACGGUGUAGCGGUGAAAUGCGUAGAUAUCAUAAGGAAGACCAGUGGCGAAGGCGGGUCUCUGGACAGUUCCUGACGCUGAGGCACGAAGGUCAGGGGAGCAAACGGG
This 253-nucleotide ribosomal RNA is filed under the name uncultured bacterium. RNAcentral describes it as "partial 16S ribosomal RNA". It matches the Rfam family "Bacterial small subunit ribosomal RNA", at positions 524 to 776 of the family's 1533-position model. The record is from RNAcentral.